CAUGGCUCAGAUUGAACGCUGGCGGCAGGCCUAACACAUGCAAGUCGAGCGGCAUCGGGAAGGUAGCUUGCUAUCUUUGCCGGCGAGCGGCGGACGGGUGAGUAAAGUCUGGGGAUCUGCCUGAUGGAGGGGGAUAACUACUGGAAACGGUAGCUAAUACCGCAUGAUGUUACGCGACCAAAGCGGGGGACCUCCGGGCCUCGCGCCAUCAGAUGAACCCAGAUGGGAUUAGCUAGUAGGAGAGGUAAUGGCUCCCCUAGGCGACGAUCCCUAGCUGGUCUGAGAGGAUAACCAGCCACACUGGAACUGAGAGACGGUCCAGACUCCUACGGGAGGCAGCAGUGGGGAAUAUUGCAC
This 357-nucleotide ribosomal RNA is filed under the name symbiont type-X of Acyrthosiphon pisum. RNAcentral describes it as "bacterial SSU rRNA". It matches the Rfam family "Bacterial small subunit ribosomal RNA", at positions 18 to 369 of the family's 1533-position model. Lineage: Bacteria; Pseudomonadati; Pseudomonadota; Gammaproteobacteria; Enterobacterales; Enterobacteriaceae. The record is from RNAcentral.